Non-coding RNA from Triticum aestivum (bread wheat), 125 nucleotides. NCBI's taxonomy places the organism in Eukaryota, Viridiplantae, Streptophyta, Magnoliopsida, Poales, Poaceae. The record is from Rfam.
UGAGUAUUCUUUUCGUCCAGAAAUAUUUAUCAAAGAAAUGAAUGUAUCUAGACGUAUUUUAGUUUUAGAUACAUCCACUUUUAUCCAUUUCAGUGACAAGUAAUUUUGAAUGGAGGGAGUAGUUG